CGGAACACGUACGCAACCUUCCUUCAAGUGGGGGAUAGCCCAGGGAAACUUGGAUUAAUACCCCGUAAUAUUAUGAGGUGGCAUCAUCUUAUAAUUAUAGCUACGGCGCUUGGAGAUGGGCGUGCGGCUGAUUAGGUAGUUGGCGGGGUAACAGCCCACCAAGCCUGCGAUCAGUAACUGGUGUGAGAGCACGACCAGUCACACGGGCACUGAGACACGGGCCCG
RNAcentral lists this ribosomal RNA (225 nucleotides) under uncultured bacterium. RNAcentral describes it as "partial 16S ribosomal RNA". It matches the Rfam family "Bacterial small subunit ribosomal RNA", at positions 109 to 334 of the family's 1533-position model. The record is from RNAcentral.